This 879-nucleotide ribosomal RNA is filed under the name uncultured eukaryote. Its description in RNAcentral is "SSU rRNA". It matches the Rfam family "Eukaryotic small subunit ribosomal RNA", at positions 574 to 1476 of the family's 1831-position model. The record is from RNAcentral.
CCGCGGUAAUUCCAGCUCCAAUAGCGUAUAUUAAAGUUGUUGUGGUUAAAAAGCUCGUAGUUGGAUCUCAACAGCCUUGAAGCGGUUAACUUUGUAGUUUUACUGCUUUAUAGGCUGUGCUUUUGCUGGAGGUUUAGGGGUGCUCUUGAUCGAGUGUCUCUGGAUGCCAGCAGGUUUACUUUGAAAAAAUUAGAGUGCUCAAAGCAGGCUAAAAUGCCUGAAUAUUCGUGCAUGGAAUAAUAGAAUAGGAUGUCGAUCCUAUUUUGUUGGUUUUCGGGACUCGACAUAAUGAUAAAUAGGGACAGUCGGGGGCAUUUGUAUUCAAACGACAGAGGUGAAAUUCUUGGACCGUUUGAAGACAAACUACUGCGAAAGCAUUUGCCAAGAAUGUUUUCAUUAAUCAAGAACGAAAGUUAGAGGUUCGAAGGCGAUUAGAUACCGCCCUAGUUCUAACCAUAAACGAUGCCAGCUAGCGAUCUGCCUGCGUUUUUACUGUAGACUGGGCAGGAAGCUUCCGGGAAACCAAAGCAUUUGGGUUCCAGGGGAAGUAUGGUUGCAAAGCUGAAACUUAAAGGAAUUGACGGAAGGGCACCACCAGGAGUGGAGCCUGUGGCUUAAUUUGACUCAACACGGGAAAUCUCACCAGGCCCGGACACUGGAAGGAUUGACAGAUUGAUAGCUCUUUCUUGAUUCGGUGGGUGGUGGUGCAUGGCCGUUCUUAGUUGGUGGAGUGAUUUGUCUGGUUAAUUCCGAUAACGAACGAGACUCUGUCCUGCUAAAUAGUUUCUACUUCUCUUUUGAGUAGAAAUUUCUUCUUAGAGGGACUGGUGACUCUUAGUCACACGAGAUUGAGCAAUAACAGGUCUGUGAUGCCCAAGG